Prunus avium (sweet cherry) is the source of this 4980-nucleotide long non-coding RNA. RefSeq lists it as uncharacterized. Lineage: Eukaryota; Viridiplantae; Streptophyta; Magnoliopsida; Rosales; Rosaceae. The record is from RefSeq and is a predicted model, not a curated record.
CCAUUUUGGGUAUGUUUCUAUGUUUAAAUAGUGCUUGGGUAUUUUUAUAAAUACAUGUCUAGGAUUGGGUAUUUUUAUAAAUAUCUAUUUCUUAUUUUCGUUACUUGUUCAAUAUCGUGAAUUUUGUGGUCUGUCUUUCCGUUGAUGUCUUGCUCACAUUAUGUGUGCAGGAAUUUGGUUUUAACGCCGCAGUUAAUAAAGGAAGUGGAAAUAGUUUAUUGGGAGAACAUGUUAAAUCCUUUUUGUCUCAAGUUUUUUAAACUUUUGUACAAGUCUCUCUCUCUCUAAUUCCCUUCUUAAUUAAUAUUAUGUAUUUUUCAGGUUUCUUCUGUUGGGUUUGAAUUGACUUGCUACCUAAGAGGGGGUUAAUGUUGUUGCCUUUUGUUUCCCAUUUCAAAAAUGUAUUACAUUUGGUGCUGUUAUUUUAGCAAUAUCUUAUGUAGAUGCAUCCUAAUUAUUGUCUUAGGGACAAAGUUUCACCCGGGGGCACGGGUUUGAGGGCUUAACGCCGCUGGUUUUGUUUGUUCACCUUCUUUGGUUUCUUAUUUCUGUUACACGUUCAAUAUCAUGAAUUCUGUGGUUGUUUUUUAUUUCGUGUCAUAUGCAGAUGCAUUUCUUGCUUUAGUCCGGAGUAUCAGGAUUUUGAGUAGUUUUGCUGGAAUUUGGUUUUAAAGGUUUACACUGCAGUUAGUUCUUGGCUUAUAAUUUGAUUUCUUAUUUCUUUGAUGUCUGGAACAAUUUGUUUAUGCAGAUUGCAAAUCUUGUCUGUCGUUGGAAUCUCACUCUACGUUGAAUAAAAACAGGCUGCCUUAACCAUAAGAGGGGUCUUUUAUCUGAUCUUUUUUAUUCGUACCGUCUGUAUAAUGUGGGGCACAUUGUCUGAGCUACAUUUCUGCCUGCAGGCGUAUCCUAACUCAUGUCUAUAUAUGGAGGUCUCACUUUCUCGAAUGAGUUUGAAGAAAGGGUUUGAGUAGUUCUUGGCUUCUGAGUUAUUAUCUGAUUUUAUAUUCUUGGAGCCUGUACGUCAUCCUGAGACAUUUUUUGCACAAUGUCUUUAUAUGCAGACCAUUACACUUGUCUUCUUGUGGGGUCUGAUUCCUUGAAGUAGAACGAGCUGCUUUUAAGAAAGGGUUUGAGUUGUUCUCUGCUUAUGCUGUAACUUCUUACAUGAGCCAUUAUUUGAGUAAUGUUUUCUUUUAGAGUUUGAUGCAUCUUGUGUAUUGGUGAAGAGUUUAUAAGAUCUGGUACCAUUGUUGGAGCAAUAUUCUAUGCAGAUGCAAUUUAACUCGCCUGUGUAUGGAGUCUUACUUUGUUUAAGGAGAGCAGGGGUGCUACUAAGUGAAUUUCUUCGCCCUAUUAUUUGAUUUGCUGGUCUUAAGAGAUUUUGCACAAUGUAUUUGAGCAGCGUUUCUAUAUGCAGACACAUCCUAACUCUUGUCUUGUACAUGGAGUCCAACAUUGUUGACGGAGAAGGGCUUCUUCCAAGAGGGGGUUUCUUCUCUUAUUAUCUAUUUUCUAUUCUGGAGAGUGUAUGAGAUCUUGGGCCAUGAUUUGCACCAUUACUUUCCAUUCUAUGCAGAUCAUCUUGUCUGUAUAUGGGGUCCAAAUUUGUUGAAGGAAAUUUCUUUUAAGAGGGAGUUGAGUAGUAUGGCCUUAUGAUUUAAUUUGUUUAUGAGAUUCGACACUUUCGUUGGGCAUUAUUUUGUGCAGAUACAUCGUAGCUCUGGUCUGUUUCUGGAUCUUUUUCCUUGGAUGUUGGGCUUUGUUGAUUUUUGUCUAGUGCUCUAAUGUCUCAGUUUUUAAGGAGUUAUGAGAUGCAUCCUUGUUCUUGUGUGUGAACAAGUGUAACUUAAUUCAUGACUGGACUAAUUUCUUAAGGAGGUUAUGCUGCGUCUGAUCUUUGUUGUGGCUCUCUUUUUCGAGGAGGGUUUCUGCAGUUCAAUUUAAACUUAAUGUCAAUUUUGAAACCUCAGGAACAGGUGUCAUGCUGAGUUUUGUUUUCCGUUAUGUAUUCAUUUCAGUAUGUCAUUGUCUCAUGCAGAUGCUCAUUGCUCAAAGUCUUACUUGAGUUAAGUUGAUGAGGAUGAAUUUUUGAGUGACAAUCAGAACUUGUUGCACCUCGCCUGGUUUUUCAUCCACUGCCUUCUUGUUUUCAUGAUACUUACAAUUCUUUUCAAAUGGUGAUAUGUUAUGAUGAUGUCAAUUUUUUUUGCGGUAGUUCAUGGAUUUUCCUGUGCAGAAGUUUUGUAGCUCGGAGUCUGUCUUGUAUCUGCAUUGAUUCCUUGAGAAACAGUCUCCACAGUCGUUUCUUAUUUGUUGUAUUCUUUUAUGGGGUUUAUCGUUCAUGGCUUGAUAGUUCAACAUAUUCUUAUGAAUGGGUUCAUUCUUUUCUUUAACUUAAUUAUAUUCUCUCAAAAUUUACUUUUAUUUCUGUUUUUUAAAAGAUAACUGAUUACAGAUUUUGAAUUUCAUGUAGGGGCCUCAAGAUCCUUAAUUUUUCAUGACUCUGCACCUCUCCCAUUCAUUUCUAUAUUGUGCUGGUCUUUAAUUAAUUCACACAUUUUAAGGUUUGGCAGAUGCUUGUCUUUAUUGGUAUUGCUGUUUUUGUCUGUUUAAAUGUCUAUUUUGUCUGGUUGAAGGUGGAUUCAAUGCAGUCUGUGCAGCUUUGUGCAAUACUUUGGCCAUUCAGGGUUGGAUAUUCUUUGGUGCUUCUCUUUUUUUUACCCCUCUUCUUUGGCCUUUUCAGAAGGGCGCUUGUUAAGAUAUUUGGUCGUUCAUUUGAUAUUUUUUUAUGAGUGUAUAUGAUCUGGCACCACCAUUUGAUCUCAUGCAAUGUGUUUGCAGUUGCAUCCUAACUUGUCUUUUACUGGAGUCGCACUUUGUCAGAGCCUGGAACAUCUCUUUUAAGAGGUGGUUUUACGUUUCUUUGCUUGCGAUUUAGUUCUCUGUAGACCAUAAAUGUGGCAUUUUUGAGCAAAUGUAUUAUGCAAAUUCAUUUCGCGUCUUUUUUACUUGAUUACAUAUUAACGGAAUGGGUAUUCAAGCAAACCAACGGAAUAAUGAAUUUGGGCAUGUGCGACAGUCAAGAGGAAUGGGAGUUGCCUUUGCAGAGUCUUGCUCGUGAGGCUCGGUUGAAUGGGGGAUGCUUUUAAGAGGUGCUGGUACUUCUUGGCUUAUGAUUUAUUUUUGUUAGAUUUUAUCAGAUAUGAUUCGCGCAAAAAGUUUUGUGCAGCAACGUUUGUCUCUUAAUGGAGUCCUAGGGUUUAUAGGAGGGCAUGCUGCCGAUUGUUUUAAGAGGGAGUGGGAAUGUGGUAUGCAGAUUGAUGUCUUUGGAUGCAGUGAAGUAUCGUUGGACCGUAGAGCAGCACUUGCCCACAAAUAAACUGAGUAUGACUUUGAUCUUUGUUGAUGGAACUGUUCUUUGAGGGGUCGUGAGAUUUGAUUUUGUCGUUUACAUAGUAUCUUAUUUCCAAUUUGUAUCGAAGUUUUAUUCAUUAAUCUCGUUUUAGCCAAGGUUUACUCAUCUUCAGGUUGACGGAUUGAUUUGUCAGCUAAAAUGGAUAGGAUGACUUGUUUUCAUUGUCUUUGGAUUUCAGUGUUUCGAUCUUAAUUAGCUUAUCUUCUAUGUCUUGCUCAAUUUUUCCAGAAUAUGGGCGGAGGGUUGAAUCUUCCUUUAAUUAAAUUGCUUCUCUCAAAAUCUCUUUUCAUAUAUAUAAAGUUUUCUCAUGUACAGGUGCUAAUAUUCAUAUGUACCUUUUCGGAUUUUAUUGUGUUGGAGGUGGUGGUUUGUGCUCUGCUAAAGGGUUUGGCCUUUGUCUUAAACAUAGUGACCUGUUGGCAUCUUUUUGUUUGAGUGCCUGGUUUGCUUUUGCUGUUUUGUUGUGGCAUAUUACCAUUUUUUCUUCCUGGCAGGCUAAAGUUGCUUAAGUUCGUGAUGGGUCAGUAUGUUGGAUAUUUGAAAUUUCUGGGCAGAGUAGUCCAUUGUAGAAGGUUGGGUUUAUUUGCUUGAAGGGUGCUGUUCCAUUUAGGUUACACAUGGGGUUGUUUGACAAGUAAAUGAUCUGGCAUAAUUAUAUGGGUCGUGUUUUAUGCAGAAGCAGUCUCAUUCUUUGAGGGCUCUGUCUCAGAUUCAAUUUUAUGCACAGAGCUGAUAGAACUGUUUUUAUAAACUGCUGAUGGAAAUGGAUGUGGGAUGAAGUGUGUUGUUUCCCUUACCUGUCUUCUUAGUUCCAUCAGCUGAUAGUCAUACUUUUUCCUAUAACUGUUCCUUUAAAUUGCUUUUGUGUUCAUUUGGGUGGCUUGAUAGGAUCUGUCGUUCAUUUCUUCAUUUGGUGCUUCUUAUAGUCCAACUUACUGAACUUUGCAAUCUGACACUGUUUCUAUGAUCAAUUUGACAUUUUAAAAGCAUUUGAGUAUUAAUUAAAUUGUUGUUUGUUGGUAUCAAAUUAGACAUUUUGAACUUUGGUGUGUUUUUCAUAUUUAUGUCCUUAUUAGUUGCUGGGUGUGUCUCGUUUAUUGGUUCAAUAAUGCUGUGGUCGAGCGUCAUUCGACUAUUCUGAGCUGGUUACAAAGAGAUGAUAGGGAUGAGAGAUUACAUUUAAUGUAAUACUUAUCUCUAAUUUAUGACUAAGUAAUGAACUUACAAAGAGAACAUAUAAUGUAUUGAAAGAAUGUAGUUCUGGUUUGUCAUAUUUGUUAUAUCGAAGUUGCUCUGUUUUUGCAUAGAGGGUCGGAGUUCUUUAGACAUCUGAAUGUCUAUCAAUUGUAUAAUGUCAACUUCUUGGUAGCUUUUUCUCUUUUAGAUUUGUUUGGCUUUUAGUAUGAUGGUUAUGUGCAUUGCUUUGUUUUUAGCUGCUGUCUGUUGUGUGUAUUUGUGUUUAGUUAGUUAGGUUUAAAGGGAUGUAGCUCAAAAUGGUAGAGCUCUCAGCUUGUAACCUGUAUGAACAAGUUACAACACUUACGAGAAGAUCAAGGUUCAAA